UUUGCGAAGAUCAGCAAGAAGUAUGGGCCGAUUGUCUUCCUCAAGGUCGGAAUGGUCCCGUUUGUGGUGGUGACCGACAAGGAAAUGGCAGCGCAGGUUCUUAAGGCCCACGACCUCGAGUUUGCAAGCCGACCGGACGAAGAGUUCUUUCGGAUCGUCAGCCACGACUGGAACGAUCUUAUCCUGGCGCCCAUCGGUGAGAAGUGGAAGACAAUGAGGAGGAUUUGUAGCACACACCUGUUUAACAACAGUACGCUAAAGGCUAGCGCAGGAUUCCGGGAGUCGGAGAUGAAGCAUGCAGUCAAGGCCAUUUUCCAGCAUUCCGGGACAACGAUCAAGCUGCAAGAGGUUUUGAGCAAUCUCGCGUCAAAUUCACUAUGCCUGGUUCUUUUUAGCAAGCGGGGGGUGGAAGUGGUGGAUCUCAUCCGGAACAUACUCGGUCUAAGCUUGAACUUGAACAUUGGAACCCUGCUUCCGGCACUCGACUGGCUGGAUCUUCAUGGAGUCUACAAGAAGCUCAACACGGAGCUCGUACCUCGCCUUAAGCUCGUGCUGGAAGAUCAAAUCGACAAGCAUCGACGCAGGAAAGAUGAAGCUGGGGAUACAUUCGUCCCUCAGGACUUCACCGACGUUCUUAUAUCUCUCGAGGACAAGGAUAAGCUGUCAAACAUCUCCAUCUUGGCACUGCUCUCGGUAAGCAUCUAGAUCGUGGUCGUGAUCACUGAAAAACUCUAGUUUUGCGUCAGGACAUGGUUAUUGCAGGGUUGGAAACUUCACUAGUGACGCUCGAGUGGACGAUGGCGGAGCUCAUAAACCAUCCCCAAGUCAUGUCCAAGGCUCAAGAGGAGAUCGACAGCGUUGUAGGGACAGCUCGCGCGGUGCAAGAGUCCGACCUUCCAAACCUUCCAUACAUCGAAGCCAUUGUCAAGGAAUCACUGCGUCUCCACCCGGCGGUGCCACUGGGCGCUCCUCACAUGAAUCCCAAGCCUGUCAAGCUGGGAGGCUACACCAUCCCUGGCGGCUGCAAGGUUCUCGUAAACAUAUGGGCCAUUGGACGCGAUCCCGCUCGCUGGUCCGACCCAGAAGCGUUCCAGCCGGAGCGCUUUCUCGGCUCCUCCAUCUCUCCCAACGGGCAGAACUUUGACUUCCUUCCAUUCUCAUCGGGGAGGAGAGUUUGUGUUGGCUAUCCACUCGCGAUGAGAUCCAUCCCUUUUUUCGUGGCCAGUUUGCUCCAGGCAUUCGAUUGGAGUCCUGCUAACCCGAGCGGGAUCGACAUGGAAGAAUGCACGAGAAGUACAACUAUGAAGCUGAAUGCUGACUUGCUUGUAAACGCGUCCAUCAGGGUCGAUCAAAAUAUAAUAUAAAGCUUUCUAUACCAUGUUGAUUAAAUUGUUUAGCGUUGGAGAUGUUUCAAAUACAAUAUAAAUACAAAUACUAGGUGUUUUAAAGUCCAAUGCUCGAUGUUAAUAGCAACAGCUAGUACAUUACGCAAUCCUGAACAGAGUAGAUGUAGAAGUAGUCAAUCUGUUAAAGCUCUAGGGGCCUCCUUCAAGCCUCGAUGGGCACCCGUGUUGAGUUUCUGGACAAAGUCGCAGCGAUGCGGUUGUUUACAUUGAAAGUCGUUGGUUUUCUCAUGCCGAUUUUCUUCCAGGCGAAUUACCGCAAUACCAGUGAGUUUAGAGCACUUGAAGUAUGAAGUCUUCACGAUUGUACCAGUCAAGGUCAGCAUUUUCACCAAGAUCUCCCGGAAAUUCUAGUUAAAACUCGUCUUUUGCUCGUACAUUGAGGACCAAUGUGUUUGCUCCAACUUUGUGGACCCUGCGAUUGCGUAAUCCAGGGACGUGAUCGCCCCUCAGGAGUUAAAUAUGUGAUUGAUGGAAGUGGCGACGUCGUGACUGAAAAUCACUGUCCGUGGCUGUGAUGUGUUUGGAGAUUACUCCUCCAAGCGGCUAAAAUCAGUGACAUUGGAAUCGUCUGGAAACCUAGACUUUUUUUCUGAUUCCAAGUCAUAUUGCUACAUAACAGUAUCUUUCUUUGUUUUUUAAAAAACCCUAGCCCUAAUUGACUGACGGAAACUGCUAUGACACGUCGGAUUUGCGUUAGCGUCCGAUCGCCAAGAACAGCACGAUCUAGCCGCCGGGAACAGCAUCGUAGGUCUUUCUAGGCAGUGAAGUCGUGUAGCAGCGCCAGGGGUCCCCGGGACUCCAUUCUAGCGCUGUUGCCAAUGGCCUUGUCAGUAUCUUUGCGAAAUGCGGCAGCGUGGCGGAUUCUCGCGCCACGACGUGGUGUCCUGGAAUUCGCUGGUCCUGGGGUACGCUGAGAAUGGCGAGCCGGAAGCAGCAAUGGACGUCUUCGAUCGCACGAAGAGAGUAUUUCACGGUUGACAAUCGGACCUAUGUUGCGGCCCUCAUGGCGUGCAUUGAUCUGGGGGCACAGGAAGAGAUCAAGCGGCAGCACGGGAAGAAAUCUCUGGAAAGAAUGGUGGUUCUAGAGAAGGGUCGAGAGAUCCAUGCUCAAGCUUCCAGCGCUGGCUAUGGAUCCAACAUCUACGUUGCAAACACGCUCAUCAACAUGUACUCGAAGCUUGGGUGCCUUGCGGAGGCUCGAGAGGUGUUCGACCGGAUUGGAAAGGAGGAGAAGAGCGUUGUGUCGUGGACCGCGAUGAUGAUGGGGUGUAACGAGAAUGGAGACGAGAAGGAAACGUUGGAGCUCUACAACGCCAGGGCUGUCCUCCCAACUCUCGGACUUUUGUCGCAGCGCUCAUGGCCUGUGCUGGAUUGGCCGAGAAAGCUGAUGGGAGUGACAAGGCCGAAUAUCUUGAGAAGGGACGAGCGAUUCAUUCACAAGCUGUGAAAGGUGGCUGCGGCUCGGACGUUUUCUUCGCGAGCACUUUGAUCCAUAUGUAUUGCAAGUGUGGGAGCCUGGAAGAUGCUAGAGCCGCAUUCCAGCGAAUGCAGCGCUUGGACGUGGUGUCCUGGAACGCUCUCAUCCUGGGACACGUUGAGAAUGGCGAGAGCCAGCGUGCACUCGAGAUCUUCGGCGGCAUGAAGAGGAUCGAGAGACAUCGCCGCUGCUCGCCGAACGCUCGGACUUUCGUUGCUGCGCUCAUGGCCUGCUCCAGGCUGGCUGCAAAAGAAGCUGGCAAGCAGGUUGACGGGAAGCUCGUGAAGACGGAGAGUUUGAAGAGAGGGAUGGAUGUACAUUCGCAAGCGGUGCAGUGUCGCUGCGAAACGGAGCUUUUCGUGGCCACCACCUUGAUCGACAUGUAUUCGAAGUGCGGGAGCAUGGUCGAAGCCCGAAAGUGCUUCGACAAGAUGCCCAGCCACAACGUCGUUACGUGGAAUUCUCUCAUCCUGGGCUACGCGGAGAACGGUGACGGUGAACAGGCCUUGCAAGCCUUCCGGCGGAUGAAAGCCAACAAACGUCUCGUGCCGGACACUCGAACUUACGCUGCAGUGCUGAUGGCCUGUGGCAGCAUGGCGUCGCUUGAAACCGCGAGAGACGUCCAUAGCGAGAUUCGUGGUCUCGGGCUCGACCAAGAUGGAUUCAUCGCCAACUGCUUGGUGGACUGCUACUGCAACUGUGGGAGCUUGGAAGAGGCAAAACAGGUUUUUGACGCGCUGGGCAGCAAGAACGUUGUCUCCUGGAGCUCGCUCAUAGCAGGAUACAGCCGCCACGGCCACGUAAAACAGGCUCUCGACUUGUUCCAGAAGAUGCAAGACGGUGGCUUCCAGGCGGACAAGAUGACCUUCACGUCCAUCCUCACGGCUUGCAGCCACGCCGGACUGGUGGAAAAAGGGAAGGAGCUGUUCGAGCUUAUGGCCUCCAAGCACGGCGUGGAGCCGGACAUGGACCACUACCACUACAUGAUCGAUCUUCUAGGCCGCGCAAACCAUCUGGAGGAGGCAGUGGCGAUGGCGGAGGGGAUGCCGUUUGAUCCAAAUGCCGUGACUUGGAAGACGGUGCUGGGGGCGUGCCAGAAGUGGAACAACGUCCGGAUCGCGAGGGUGGCGUUUGAGAGGCUGCGGCAAGUCGACGGGGAGCAAGCGGCGCCGUACGUUCUCAUGGCAAACAUCUUUGGAAGCUCGAUCUCGUCCAGCGACAAGUCUUGCUCCCACUGCUCGACGAGGAAGACUUAAGGUACCAGUUGCUUUAUUUUCCUGAAGUUUAAUUUGAUUUUUUGAUGCAAGAGUAACAAAUCAAGUUGUCUUCGUCGGAACAGCAGUUCUCUAUAAUAUGGCGAUGGCCUGUGGAUCCAGAGCAUCAAAUCGAUGGACUUGGGUGUGGCCUUGUUCCUCCUUAGCGUCGGCUUGACCACACUGUCACUUCUCAUCGGGAGAAUUCUAUCUUCGCAGCGGCGGCUCCCUCCAGGUCCCUUCUCUUUCCCCAUUUUUGGAGCACUCUUCUCCCUCCAGGAGCCACUCCACCAGCACUUUGCGAAGAUCAGCAAGAAGUAUGGGCCGAUUGUCUUCCUCAAGAUCGGAAUGGUCCCGUUUGUGGUGGUGACCGACAAGGAAAUGGCAGCGCAGAUUCUUAAGGCCCACGACCUCGAGUUUUCAAGCCGGCCGGACGAAGAGUUCUUUCGGAUCGUCAGCCACGACUGGAACGAUCUUAUCCUGGCGCCCAUCGGUGAUAAGU
Molecule: long non-coding RNA, 4638 nt
Filed under: Selaginella moellendorffii
Lineage: Eukaryota; Viridiplantae; Streptophyta; Lycopodiopsida; Selaginellales; Selaginellaceae
Description: long non-coding RNA (SMOE_LNC000280)
Source: RNAcentral